RNAcentral lists this unclassified non-coding RNA (215 nucleotides) under uncultured fungus. Its description in RNAcentral is "sequence contains ITS1". Lineage: Eukaryota; Fungi. The record is from RNAcentral.
UUUACUUGUUUUGUUUGUUUGACUCGGAAUUUCCACUUAAAAAAUCAAGAGUUUGGGUUGGGCGCUCCGCCGGCGGGCACCCGGCCGCGGGGGGCCGGGCCGGGGGCCCCUCCCAGGGGCCGCCCGCCGAGGGAACUCGACAAGAGGUAGGUUCGCAUGGGGUGUUACAGAGUUUGCACUGUGUAAUGAUCCCUCCGCUGGUUCACCAACGGAGA